CGUCCAGUUAGUCUGUAGGCUGGGGAAGGGGACCCCACCCACCCAGGGGGUCCUGAGUGCGAGUUCUGAAGGGGAUGGGGAGGGAAUGGAUUACGUACUCUGAAACCACGGCAUUGGUUCAAAUUCCAUAGUGACCGUUGACGAAAAAUGGGGUCUGCAGGCCUGGUCCGGCGGUGUGACCACUGGUGUCACUCUAUCUUCGGCUUUAUUUUAAUCAACAUGCCAGGAACAUUGGUAAAAAGGUCAGUUGUAAAAUGAAAUGUCACAAGUUAGGGAUCAAUGGUUACAUAGACAUUGCUCAAGUUUCCGUUUCUCCUGAGAAACUGACCUGGGGUCAACUGAAAAGAAUUUAGGCCUCAGUCAGCAAGAGAGGGUCUGUUUUCUUUUAAAAGAUUGGCCCUAAGUUAACAUCUGUUGCCAAUCUUCCUCCUUUUAUUUUUCCUUCUCCCCAAAGCCCCCCUGAGCUGACACUGGGCUACUGGGGUAACCCAGCACAGUCUCCCCGACUCAAGAGCCGCGUCUGCCAAGUGCCCUUGCCAUGGAGGGUGACGUGCUCACAAGUUGUGAGCAUUGAUGCCGAUCUUUUUGGGGACCAUUAUUCUGCCUACAGCAGCAAAGUGGUCAUCAAAGGCAGCAGGCGUUUGAGUUCUGAAUGCAAGCAGAAGAGUCUUCCCUCCCUCCAGAGAUGUCCGUCAACUGCGUCCCGGUCCAAGAAGGUGGGCCACGCAGGCGAGAACGGGGACCACGUGUGCGGAGCAGGGCCACGGCUGCCACAGCCAGCAGCCAUUCCCUGGGCCAACAGCACAGACGAAGGUGGCUCCAGGAUCCAGAAUCAGGCGCGGACGGUGGAGGAAGAAUGUGAAUUUAGUCAUCCCCAACAAAUCCUUUGAUGUCUUCAGAAAGUCCCAAGUUACUGUUGGAUGUGGACACUCACAGCCCUGACAUCCUCUUUCUCCAAGAAGCAGAGCUGAGCCCCCAGAGGAAGGCGUUUAUCAGCCAAGUGCAAGGCACCCCAGGGGAAGCAGGGACGUGAGACAGCAAAGGAGGGGACUAGGAGGCAGCAGUGGAGGGGUGUGAGGAGGCCAGAUCACUGCGGGACGCUGGAGCUCCAGCCCUCCAGGAAACUGGAACCCGCACCUUCGAGGGGCGAGGGGGCUGGGCGUUCCACACCAGCCUUCAGUCCCGCUGCAGACACUGCUGGGGCCAUCAAGUCCCGGCACACAUGGAUGUGGACAGUGAGGCCUCCUGCGGUCUAGCAGACGGCUGUCAGGCAAAGAGGAGAUGCAGCUAGAACUGGGGUGGAGCCCACAGGCCAGAGUGUUGGUGACCCACCAACUGCUUCUGCAACACUUACGUCUAGAGAGAACAUUCCGGAACCCACCACAGACAGAUCCAGGUAAAGACCACCCCUUCCAGAAGGGGGCUUGGAUAUCAGCCUCACAAGCCAUGCUGGUGCUCACCUCCAGGGCGGGAGGAGUAGGAUGAGGAGCAGAGCUCUGCAGGCGACUGUCUGAGGCUGAAUCCUGCUCUGCCGCCCACCUGCCAGUUCCGUGACCUUGAGCGUCUCUUAGCCUCUCUGCGCCUCAUUUUCCCCUCUGCAAAGGGGAGGCGAUGACAAGACUUCUCUGGGAGGGUGGUUGGGAGGAUUUAAUGUAUUCAUACAGAUAAAGCUCUUAAAAAGUUCACGCCAUAAUAAGCGCUCAGACAUUUUUUACUCCAUAUCUUUUGUGAAUUGCCUUUGUUUAUAAACACUCUGAUAUGGUGGGUGCUCAAAGGUUUUAACAAUAAUUUCCUCACUAUAACUAACCCAGAAUUGGUGGAGGCGUUGCUGUGAAAAUGAAAACGAGGCGCCCAUGGUAUCGUGAGCUGGUCUCCAGAGAACCCGGGGAAGGCGUGUGGCCCAUGAGCAGUCCGGGGAGGUCACCUGUAGAGUAGAUUUGUCACCCAAAGAGCCUGCGACGAGCUUAUUAUGGGAAUCUGAUAUUCAGUUUGCUAGCUUGUAGAUAUAAAAGAAAAUAAUCUAGAAAAAAUAAGGUUUUAAAAACAACGCGUGCGAAGUCUUUAAAUACGUAGUUUUCCACACAGUUGACCAUAUGCAUGCUGGCAAUAGUGAGGAGGAUUUUAGGCUGCUUACUUUUAAAACUGCAGAUGAGAAGCAGGCUCCGAGGACUGGAAUUUUGCUUGCCCUUUUGAGACAUUUGCGUUUGUGAAGGAAGGGGGGAUGACCUUGUAGGGACCUGAAAUUGGCCACCCCAAGAUAUGACUCUUUGGCAUCGGGAUUGUUUUGGGCUGAUAGCUUUUGAUAAACUGGGACAGGGAAGGAGGCUCUGGGGAAUGGAACUUGCCCUUGUUGGGACACAUUUACAUUUGUAAGGUAAAUCUCUAUCUGUAAAAGGUGCCUCCCUCUCUGUACCAGGAAGAAGAAGAAGAGAGAUGACCUUGUCCCUAGAAACUCUUAAUGGGGAAGGCAAGAACUUAAGUUGGUUGCUGUCUGGCAAUCUCAUGUAACUGAUUUAGGGUGGUGGCUUCUGACCUUUCUAACCUUUACUUAAUCCGAUUUGAUUCUUGUCUAAAAGUCAUGGGAUCACCCAACGACCAGACCCCACCUGCACUGGUACCAUUUUAACUUUUUUUUCAUGUUCUUUCCUUUGUCUUUGUAAAGAGAUGACUCACAUACCUAUGCCUUAAAUUUAGCCCUAACCCUCAACUCGGGGCAGCAGCAGGAGCUCUGCCUGCCCAUGGGUCCUGUCCCCAUGCCAGUGGGGGCAGCAGCAGCUGCUCUGCCUGACCAUGGGCCCUGUCCCCAUGCCAGCGGGGGCAGCAGAAGCGGCGGCAGCAGAAGCUCUGACUGCCCAUGGGUCCUGUCCCCAUGCUAUUCCACACUAUUCUCUAAAUAAAAGAGCACUACUGCCAGAUCUUAAGAGUCUAAGAAAUCUUUCUUU
RNAcentral lists this long non-coding RNA (2942 nucleotides) under Equus caballus (horse). RNAcentral's name for it is "lncRNA (ENSECAG00000057162.1)". Lineage: Eukaryota; Metazoa; Chordata; Mammalia; Perissodactyla; Equidae. The record is from RNAcentral.